AAGGAAGCACACUCCGGUCAUAGAUUAAGCCAUGCAAGUGUCAGUUCAGGGCUCGAAACUGCGAAUAGCUCAUUAAUACGCUUGGUAUCUACUUGGUUGCGACUCACGGGUCAUAAAAGGAUAGCAGCAGUAAUUCUGGUGCUAAUACAUGCUAUUGUCUCAUGUUUUACGAAUAAGCAAGGGAAAGUUGACCGUCAGGCAUACCAUUCGAAUGAGCGACCUAUCAGCUUGUACUUAGGGUCUUUACCUAGGUAGGCUAUCACGGGUACCGGGCGGUUACCGUCGGACUGCCGGAGAAGGCGCCUGAGAGAUAGCGACUAUAUCCACGGGUAGCAGCAGGCGCGAAACUUCCCCACUCGAGACUUUCGGAGGUGGUAAUGACCAGUUCCAUUUCUUUUUUUGUAAAAAGUAUGGAUAGGAUGACAUUUAUCUCAUGUUGAGAAAUCUAGCAGAGGGCCAGUCUGGUGCCAGCAGCUGCGGUAAUUCCGGCUCUGCGAGUUUGCUCCCAUAUUGUUGCAGUUAAAACGCCCGUAGUCUGAGCUUUUUCGAAAGAAAGAUGCGACCCUGUGGGGUUCGUUCACUGUGAACAAAUCAGGACGCUUAGAGUAUUUUGAUAUGAAUGACUCAGCGCAGUAUGAUAUUUUUACCGUCAGGUCAGAUCAAAGAGAGCGAUCGGGGGGUAGAUCUAAUUCAUGGCGAGUGGUGGAAUACAGUGACCCAUGAGAGAGAAACGAAUGCGAAGGCAUCUACCCAGUGUGUCUCUGUCGAUCAAGGGCGAGAGUAGGAGUAUCCAACCGGAUUAGAGACCCGGGUAGUUCCUACAUUAAACGAUGCCGACAGGCGCAUGUUUUUUAGCGAAGCAGGUGCCAGUGAGAAAUGAUAGUUCAUGGGCUCUGGGGGAACUACGACCGCAAGGCUGAAACUUGAAGGAAUUGACGGAAGGGCACACCAGGGGUGGAGCUUGUGGCUUAAUUUGAAUCAACACGGGGAAACUCACCAGGACCAGAUGUUUUGUAUGACUGACAGGCUUUGGGUCUUUCAGGAUGUGACUUUUGGUGGUGCAUGGCCGUUGGUGGUGCGUGGGUUGACCUGUCUAGCGUUGAUUCAGAUAACGAGCGAGAUUAUCACCAAUUUUUUAAGCGAAAUGCUACGGCAUUUCUUGUAUAAGUUGGGACUCCCUGCGUCGAAGCAGGCGGAAGAGGGUAGCAAUAACAGGUCCGUGAUGUCCUUUAGAUGCUCUGGGCUGCACGCGCGCUACAAUGUGUGUUUGAAAGAGAAGCGAAGUUGAGAGACAGUGCUAAUCUGCGAAUAACACACGUAGUUGGGAUUGGUGAUUGUAAUGAUCAUCAUGAACCAGGAAUCCCUUGUAAAUGCGUGUCAACAGCGCGCGUUGAAUACGUCCCUGCCCUUU
RNAcentral lists this ribosomal RNA (1411 nucleotides) under Joenoides intermedia. RNAcentral describes it as "SSU rRNA". It matches the Rfam family "Eukaryotic small subunit ribosomal RNA", at positions 20 to 1661 of the family's 1831-position model. The record is from RNAcentral. Lineage: Eukaryota; Parabasalia; Cristamonadida.